Octodon degus (degu) is the source of this 106-nucleotide small nuclear RNA. NCBI's taxonomy places the organism in Eukaryota, Metazoa, Chordata, Mammalia, Rodentia, Octodontidae. The record is from Ensembl.
GUGCUCAUUUGGGCAGCACAUAUAUUAAAUUGGAAUGAUGCAGAGAAUAUUGGCAUGCCUCAUGUGCGAGUGUGGACUGCAAAGUUGUGAGGAGUUGUUCUUCCUU